This 745-nucleotide non-coding RNA is filed under the name Pongo abelii (Sumatran orangutan). The record is from RNAcentral. Lineage: Eukaryota; Metazoa; Chordata; Mammalia; Primates; Hominidae.
AUCCUACCGAGGCCACCAUAGACCAGCCAGCCCUCAGCGUACAUGCCAGCUAAUUACAGAUGCAGGAGCAAACCCCUGGCCCAUACAUCAAUUUUAAUGUCAUUGAAUACAGAGAACAAAUCUCAUUCAUUUUGGUAUCGGCUCGAGUCAACAAACAUUGAAAAAUCAUUUACUGCGUCUGAUUUUGGGUAUGUUGAAUUGGUGACAUCUGAGUUGCUUCUGGUCUAUCCUGAUAGAAACAUACAGUAAACAGAGAAAAAAAAGGAUCUCAGGUGAGAUGAUGUAUGGGAAUGCUCAGCAUACAGAAUGAAUGGAUAAGAGGCCUGAAAACAUAAUCCUGUAAACAACCAUAUUGAAAGAGAAGACAGAAGACAUCAAAGAGAUGGAGUUUCGCUCUUGUUGCCCAGGCUGGAGAGCAACGGCACAAUCUCAGCUCACCGCAACCUCCGCCUCCCGAGUUCAAGCAAUUCUCCUGCCUCAGCCUCCUGAGUAGCUGGAAUUACAGGAUUUUGGAAGCAUUGCCUUCUACAGAAUCCACAGUAGUCCGAAGUUCUUCUACGGUUUUUGUCAAACUUUGAUUUUCCAUCUCUAGCUUCAAUAAUCUACUUGAUGUCAACUCAUUCACCUCAUGGCCCAGGGAUUUCUGCGGUGCUAUAAUAUUGAAAAAUACACCAUUGUAUUUACUCUGUACUGUUUUUACUAUGUUUACUCUUUACUAUUUAAAAAGUUGAGUGUAUAUGCAUUG